AAAGUCGGAACUAAUAUCGAUUUUUUUUUGUGUGUUGUAGGCGCAGGCUCGCAACGGAAGAAGAUAGAUAUUGAAGAAUUUUGUGACGAAUUCUGUUUUGAUUUCAUUUUUCUCAUUAUACUUUUCUUUUUCUUUUUCAAUAGAUUGUAUCUUCUUCUUUUUUAACAGAUUGUAUCUUCAUUGUAAAGAAAAUAAGAAAU
This 200-nucleotide long non-coding RNA is filed under the name Brassica napus (rape). RNAcentral's name for it is "long non-coding RNA (BNAP_LNC026062)". Lineage: Eukaryota; Viridiplantae; Streptophyta; Magnoliopsida; Brassicales; Brassicaceae. The record is from RNAcentral.